This 460-nucleotide long non-coding RNA is filed under the name Olea europaea subsp. europaea. The record is from RNAcentral. Lineage: Eukaryota; Viridiplantae; Streptophyta; Magnoliopsida; Lamiales; Oleaceae.
GUAAUCUAUAAUCCAUAAUAUAUAUUAAAGUAUCACAUCAAGGGAAAAUCAUUUUUUUGACGAUUUUAACCCUCAUACAAUUCAAUUAAUUCAAUAAUACAUUACUUUUCAUUUUUAGAUAUGUAAAAAUGCUACAUAAUUAUUGUCUUUUAUGAAAUUUGUGCUCUUUUAUUGUUGAAGAUGCAAAAAGAGACGACAGUACCAGAAAGUAAGAGAGCAGCACUUACCCUUCUAAGCUAAAGAAGCAAAGAUGAAAGCAAGUUUCUAAUCAGCUAUCAUCUGGCUUCAUCGACUUUCAAUUGGGAGAACACUUCAUUAGGAUUUGCUUGGCUAGCAUCUGAGAAACUAUACGACAGGAGGGAAAGUUCAUCUUCUCUGCAAGGAAUGCUUUGAGAAGGUAGUCGUUCAACAACAGGCAUAGGCAACUCCCAAGUAACUUCUGUGGUGCUGUCUUCAUAUG